Molecule: unclassified non-coding RNA, 596 nt
Filed under: Hevea brasiliensis (rubber tree)
Lineage: Eukaryota; Viridiplantae; Streptophyta; Magnoliopsida; Malpighiales; Euphorbiaceae
Source: RNAcentral
AAAAUCUGCCCCCAAUAGUGAGUUAUGAAUUAUUGUGAGGGUGUCUACUUUAGCAGUUAGUGAUAUAGAUACUUAUUCUAUUUAUAGUGAAGCAUUAAUGGUGAUCAUUUUAAGGUAUACUAUUUAAGGAGUUUAUUUAUGUUGAAUUUGCUGUUUCUUUCUUCUUUUUUUCAAAGUAAAUUGGCAUUUGUAAUUAAAGAGAUUUCGUUUUAGAAUCUGUAUCAUCUUGAGUUCUUUAGUUGCAAAUUAUAAUUUGGAUUGGGCUGCCAAUGGUAUUGGAUAUUCCUAAGCGUUAAUAUACCAUCUGUAUUGCAGCUAGAAUUUAGUUGUUAAAGGGUGAAGACAUAAAUAAACAAGUUGAUGUUGUACAAGUUCAAUGUAUGGUGAUUGUUGGAGUUUAUUAUUAUCAACAAUUGUUCCAUAAAACUCAAUGUGUGUUUCUGUUUUCAAAUCUCUUUUGGUUUGACUUCAUGAUCAGUUGUUGGAUGUGUUUUGUUUAAAAUUUAGUAUCUUUUUUUUUUCUAAAGUUUGCUUAGGUUGUAUUGGUAUAUUGAUAUUUCAUCAUGUUGUCAGGAGCGAGGUAGGAACUUAUUACG